This 1447-nucleotide ribosomal RNA is filed under the name uncultured prokaryote. RNAcentral describes it as "partial 16S ribosomal RNA". It matches the Rfam family "Bacterial small subunit ribosomal RNA". The record is from RNAcentral.
CAGGAUGAACGCUAGCGGCAGGCUUACACAUGCAAGUCGAACGGUAACAGGUCCUUCGGGAUGCUGACGAGUGGCGCACGGGUGCGUAACGCGUAUGCAAUCUGCCUCUAUCUGGAAGAUAGCCCGUAGAGAAAUCCGGAUUAAUAUUCCAUAAUAUCAUUGAUUCGCAUGUUUCAAUGAUCAAAACUCCGGUGGAUAGGGAUGAGCAUGCGUCCUAUUAGUUUGUUGGUGAGGUAACGGCUCACCAAGACUUCGAUAGGUAGGGGGCCUGAGAGGGUGAUCCCCCACACUGGUACUGAGACACGGACCAGACUCCUACGGGAGGCGGCAGUGAGGAAUAUUGGACAAUGGGCGAAAGCCUGAUCCAGCCAUGCCGCGUGCAGGAUGACAGCCCUACGGGUCGUAAACUGCUUUUAUACGGGAAGAAACCCUCUGACGUGUCAGAGACUGACGGUACCGUACGAAUAAGGAUCGGCUAACUCCGUGCCAGCAGCCGCGGUAAUACGGAGGAUCCAAGCGUUAUCCGGAUUUAUUAGGUUUAAAGGGUGCGCAGGCGGGAAGAUAAGUCAGCGGUGAAAUCCUGUAGCUCAACUACAGAACUGCCGUUGAUACUGUUUUUCUUGAGUUCGGUUGAGGUAAGCGGAAUGUGACAUGUAGCGGUGAAAUGCAUAGAUAUGUUGUGGAAAACCGAUUGCGAAGGCAGCUCACUAAGUUAGUAUUGACGCUGAGGCACGAAAGCGUGGGGAGCGAACAGGAUUAGAUACCCUGGUAGUCCACGCUGUAAACGAUGAUCACUCGCUGUUGGCGAUACACUGUCAGUGGCUGAGCGAAAGCAUUAAGUGAUCCACCUGGGGAGUACGAUCGCAAGGUUGAAACUCAAAGGAAUUGACGGGGGCCCGCACAAGCGGUGGAGCAUGUGGUUUAAUUCGAUGAUACGCGAGGAACCUUACCAGGGCUUAAAUGUAGAGUGACUGCUCCCGAAAAGGAGCUUUCUUCGGACAGUCUACAAGGUGCUGCAUGGUUGUCGUCAGCUCGUGCCGUGAGGUGUUGGGUUAAGUCCCGCAACGAGCGCAACCCCUAUUCUUAGUUGCCAGCGGUUCGGCCGGGGACUCUAAGAAAACUGCCCGCGCAAGCGGUGAGGAAGGUGGGGAUGACGUCAAAUCAUCACGGCCCUUACGUCCAGGGCCACACACGUGCUACAAUGGUAUUGACAGAGGGCAGCUACAUAGCGAUAUGAUGCUAAUCCUUAAACAAUAUCUCAGUUCGGAUUGGAGUCUGCAACUCGACUCCAUGAAGCUGGAAUCGCUAGUAAUCGCGCAUCAGCCAUGGCGCGGUGAUACGUUCCCGGGCCUUGUACACACCGCCCGUCAAGCCAUGGAAGCCGGGAGUGCCUGAAGUCGGUAACCGCAAGGAGCUGCACUAGGGUAAAACUGGCGACUGGGGCUAA